Vicia villosa (hairy vetch) is the source of this 418-nucleotide long non-coding RNA. RefSeq lists it as uncharacterized. The record is from RefSeq and is a predicted model, not a curated record. Lineage: Eukaryota; Viridiplantae; Streptophyta; Magnoliopsida; Fabales; Fabaceae. The transcript is spliced from 3 exons.
GAGGUUUGUUGAAGGAAGAUGAAAAAGCGCUCAGUCUCAUUUCUUUCGUCUGACUUCAUCACGGCAAGUUUCUCCUUCGAUUGAAAAUCAUCAUGACAAGUUUCUCUUUCGAUUGAGCUUAUUCUCCUUCGCAGUAACGAUACACGAAGCGCUCUCAGUCCCACACGAAGCUCAAUAUUCGUUUAAUUUGGUGGAUCACUUCAAGAAAUAACUUCAAGGAUUCAAUUGCCGUUCUCUUCAUCAAAGCUUUAAGGUUCGAAUCUGUCCUUCUUCUCGUAUAUUCAGAUUCUGUUUGUUGAAUUGAUUGAAUGAGAAUUAAGAUUAAUUUCGAAUUUGUGUUUCUUCUCGUAUAUUCAGAUACUGUUUGUUGAAUUGAUUGAAUGAGAAUUAAGAAUUACCAAUGAUGAUCCAUUUUCUA